AACGGCUCUCGCGGCUGACCACCAUCACCACCCUCACCACCCUUACAUGCCAUUUUUCACGGCAACUUCCCAUCGUUCACAACCAAGGUGAUUUUGGAACCCCCAACCUCGAGUCUUUCUUAUUUUGAUCCCUUGGUGAUAUUUCUAAUCUUAAAUAUGAGGUUUAUGGGUGUUUUAAUGCAGAUCGCAACUCGGGGAAGAAAUUUCCCCAUAUUUGUGGAAGGAAUAAACUGUGGUCAUUGAGCCACUUUCAAAUCACUUUUUUCGGCUGGCUCCGACCAUGUUUUGACCUUAAGAUGGUACGAUACUGUUCUCCUCAUUACAAGCUUCAAAUACAUAGGUAGA
This 345-nucleotide long non-coding RNA is filed under the name Malus domestica (apple). RNAcentral describes it as "long non-coding RNA (MDOM_LNC018004)". Lineage: Eukaryota; Viridiplantae; Streptophyta; Magnoliopsida; Rosales; Rosaceae. The record is from RNAcentral.